GGCUUGUUAGGAAUACCAAAAAACGCCCCCUUUCACCUAUAUUCCACUUACCGAUUAGGAAAUUGCUGUUUGCAAACUGGCCUGGUACUGGAGGUCCCGGCCGGGGGUAGGGGGUGCAAGGAGAUGCCGAGAAAAAAGGGCCACCGCUCCAGUUAAAAAAAAAGGACACAACUGACUACAUGCCUCCAGAGAAAACUCCUGAUUCUCCUAAAAGAAAAUAAUUUUUCUAUAGAGGUAAAUGUGGAGAGUAUUCCAUCGCCAUGAUAAAAAGUCCAGAGAGGAAAAAAAUGUCUAGGACACUAGGGUAGUUGAAUCCCAUGGAUGCAAGAGCAGGUGUUGAAGGAGAUUGUUACCAUCACUGGCCACAG
RNAcentral lists this long non-coding RNA (368 nucleotides) under Canis lupus familiaris (dog). RNAcentral's name for it is "lncRNA (ENSCAFG00030009955.1)". The record is from RNAcentral. Lineage: Eukaryota; Metazoa; Chordata; Mammalia; Carnivora; Canidae.